RNAcentral lists this transfer RNA (74 nucleotides) under bacterium. Its description in RNAcentral is "tRNA-Asp". It matches the Rfam family "tRNA". Rfam says of the family: Transfer RNA (tRNA) molecules are approximately 80 nucleotides in length. Their secondary structure includes four short double-helical elements and three loops (D, anti-codon, and T loops). RNAcentral also lists the same sequence under 7 other names. The record is from RNAcentral.
GGGGGCGUAGCUCAGCUGGUUAGAGCGCCGGCCUGUCACGCCGGAGGUCGCGGGUUCGAGUCCCGUCGCUCCCG